RNAcentral lists this ribosomal RNA (503 nucleotides) under uncultured bacterium. RNAcentral's name for it is "bacterial SSU rRNA". It matches the Rfam family "Bacterial small subunit ribosomal RNA", at positions 77 to 573 of the family's 1533-position model. The record is from RNAcentral.
AGCUUGCUCCCUGGCGGCGAGUGGCGGACGGGUGAGUAACACGUGGGAAUCUGCCUGGUAGCGGGGGACAACUCGAGGAAACUCGGGCUAAUACCGCAUACGCCCUACGGGGGAAAGCGGGGGACCUUCGGGCCUCGCGCUAUCAGAUGAGCCCGCGGCCGAUUAGCUUGUUGGUGAGGUAACGGCUCACCAAGGCGACGAUCGGUAGCUGGUCUGAGAGGAUGAUCAGCCACACUGGGACUGAGACACGGCCCAGACUCCUACGGGAGGCAGCAGUGGGGAAUAUUGGACAAUGGGCGAAAGCCUGAUCCAGGCAAUGCCGCGUGUGUGAAGAAGGCCUUAGGGUUGUAAAGCACUUUCAAUGGGGAAGAAAAGCAGGGUGCCAAUACCACCCUGUCAUGACGUUACCCAUAGAAGAAGCACCGGCUAACUCCGUGCCAGCAGCCGCGGUAAUACGGAGGGUGCGAGCGUUAAUCGGAAUUACUGGGCGUAAAGGGCGCGUA